RNAcentral lists this transfer RNA (73 nucleotides) under Rattus norvegicus (Norway rat). Its description in RNAcentral is "tRNA-Pro (AGG) (tRNA-Pro-AGG-8-1)". It matches the Rfam family "tRNA". From Rfam's summary of the family: Transfer RNA (tRNA) molecules are approximately 80 nucleotides in length. Lineage: Eukaryota; Metazoa; Chordata; Mammalia; Rodentia; Muridae. The record is from RNAcentral.
UUGGGGAUUUAGCUCAGUGGUAGAGCGCGUGCCUAGGAAGCACAAGGUCCUGGGUUCGGUCCCCAGCUCCAAA